RNAcentral lists this ribosomal RNA (475 nucleotides) under uncultured bacterium. RNAcentral describes it as "partial 16S ribosomal RNA". It matches the Rfam family "Bacterial small subunit ribosomal RNA", at positions 28 to 507 of the family's 1533-position model. The record is from RNAcentral.
GAUGAACGCUCGCGGCAGGCCUAACACAUGCAAGUCGAGGGAUAAGCCUUCGGGCUAAGACCGGCGCACGGGUGCGUAACGCGUAUACAAUCUGCCUUUUAUCCGGGGGAGAGCCCGAAGAAAUUUGGAUUAAUACCCUAUGGUAUAAGAGCACGGCAUCGUGCACUUAUUAAAGCUACGGCGGUAAAAGAUGAGUAUGCGUUCUAUUAGCUAGUUGGAGAGGUAACGGCUCCCCAAGGCGACGAUAGAUAGGGGUUCUGAGAGGGAUGUCCCCCACACUGGUACUGAGAUACGGACCAGACUCCUACGGGAGGCAGCAGUGAGGAAUAUUGGACAAUGGUCGGAAGACUGAUCCAGCCAUGCCGCGUGCAGGAUGACGGCCUUAUGGGUUGUAAACUGCUUUUGUAAGGGAAGAAUAAGGAGUACGUGUACUUUGAUGACGGUACCUUACGAAUAAGCAUCGGCUAACUCCGUG